AGCCUUCUGUAUCUGUACUGAGAUUUCGUCAGCGAUCAACCCACUGGCGUUGGUUGAUGAAACUUCCUAAAUAAGUGAAGUG
This 82-nucleotide microRNA precursor is filed under the name Trichobilharzia regenti. RNAcentral's name for it is "mir-3492 microRNA precursor family". It matches the Rfam family "mir-3492 microRNA precursor family". The record is from Rfam by way of RNAcentral. Lineage: Eukaryota; Metazoa; Platyhelminthes; Trematoda; Strigeidida; Schistosomatidae.